Molecule: ribosomal RNA, 1287 nt
Filed under: metagenome
Description: bacterial SSU rRNA
Rfam family: Bacterial small subunit ribosomal RNA
Source: RNAcentral
UAGCUAGUUGGUGAGGUAAAGGCUUACCAAGGCGACGAUCUGUAGCGGGUCUGAGAGGAUGAUCCGCCACACUGGAACUGAGACACGGUCCAGACUCCUACGGGAGGCAGCAGUGGGGAAUUUUGGACAAUGGGGGCAACCCUGAUCCAGCCAUGCCGCGUGAGUGAAGAAGGCCUUCGGGUUGUAAAGCUCUUUCGGCCGGGAAGAAAUCGCAUGGGCCAAUACCCUGUGUGGAUGACGGUACCGGAAUAAGAAGCACCGGCUAACUACGUGCCAGCAGCCGCGGUAAUACGUAGGGUGCGAGCGUUAAUCGGAAUUACUGGGCGUAAAGCGUGCGCAGGCGGUUUUGUAAGACAGGCGUGAAAUCCCCGGGCUUAACCUGGGAACUGCGUUUGUGACUGCAAGGCUAGAGUACGGCAGAGGGGGGUGGAAUUCCACGUGUAGCAGUGAAAUGCGUAGAGAUGUGGAGGAACACCAAUGGCGAAGGCAGCCCCCUGGGUCGAUACUGACGCUCAUGCACGAAAGCGUGGGUAGCAAACAGGAUUAGAUACCCUGGUAGUCCACGCCCUAAACUAUGUCAACUAGGUGUUGGGUGGGUAAAACCAUUUAGUACCGUAGCUAACGCGUGAAGUUGACCGCCUGGGGAGUACGGCCGCAAGGUUAAAACUCAAAGGAAUUGACGGGGACCCGCACAAGCGGUGGAUGAUGUGGAUUAAUUCGAUGCAACGCGAAAAACCUUACCUACCCUUGACAUGCCAGGAACUUGCCAGAGAUGGCUUGGUGCCCGAAAGGGAGCCUGGACACAGGUGCUGCAUGGCUGUCGUCAGCUCGUGUCGUGAGAUGUUGGGCUAAGUCCCGCAACGAGCGCAACCCUUGUCGUUAAUUGCCAUCAUUUGGUUGGGCACUUUAACGAGACUGCCGGUGACAAACCGGAGGAAGGUGGGGAUGACGUCAAGUCCUCAUGGCCCUUAUGGGUAGGGCUUCACACGUCAUACAAUGGUCGGUACAAAGGGUUGCCAAGCCGCGAGGCGGAGCCAAUCCCAGAAAGCCGAUCGUAGUCCGGAUUGCAGGCUGCAACUCGCCUGCAUGAAGUCGGAAUCGCUAGUAAUCGUGGAUCAGCAUGUCACGGUGAAUACGUUCCCGGGUCUUGUACACACCGCCCGUCACACCAUGGGAGCGGGUUCCGCCAGAAAUAGGUAGCCUAACCGCAAGGGGGGCGCUUACCACGGCGGGGUUCGUGACUGGGGUGAAGUCGUAACAAGGUAGCCGUAGGGGAACCUGCGGCUG